Small nucleolar RNA from Panicum virgatum (switchgrass), 122 nucleotides. RefSeq annotates it as small nucleolar RNA SNORD14. The record is from RefSeq and is a predicted model, not a curated record. The transcript has a single exon. Lineage: Eukaryota; Viridiplantae; Streptophyta; Magnoliopsida; Poales; Poaceae.
UGGUGAUGAUGACACAGCUAAGGCUUGUUUCUCAACAUUCGCAGUAGCCGACUAAGAGCUUUCGCCCUGCUAGGCUUGAGAGCUAGUGCUGUUGUUGGUUCCUUCCUUGGAUGUCUGAGCCU